This 207-nucleotide ribosomal RNA is filed under the name uncultured bacterium. RNAcentral describes it as "partial 16S ribosomal RNA". It matches the Rfam family "Bacterial small subunit ribosomal RNA", at positions 568 to 774 of the family's 1533-position model. The record is from RNAcentral.
CGCGUAGGCGGUUUCGUUAGUCAGGCGUGAAAUUCCUGGGCUUAACCUGGGGACUGCGCUUGAUACAGCGAGACUCGAGGUCAGAAGAGGGUCGUGGAAUUCCCAGUGUAGAGGUGAAAUUCGUAGAUAUUGGGAAGAACACCGGUGGCGAAGGCGGCGACCUGGUCUGAUACUGACGCUGAGGCGCGAUAGCGUGGGGAGCAAACA